Molecule: long non-coding RNA, 7881 nt
Organism: Solanum pennellii
Lineage: Eukaryota; Viridiplantae; Streptophyta; Magnoliopsida; Solanales; Solanaceae
Exons: 7
Source: RefSeq, a predicted model, not a curated record
UGAACUGUUGUAGGUCAUUUCUUGAGUUCGGAUGCUAGUGAAGACUUUUCAUCAAUAAAAGCAAUAUUAACCAACAGUUUCUGUAGUGAUUUCAAGUUCCUUCUAAUAGUAAUGGUUGGGGUGAACCACAUAUUUCAUCAUAGCUUGUAAAACUAAUAUAUUUUUGUUUGAAAUAUGUUUUAUUUCUUAAUCCUAAUGUCCUUUUAGCUUACAUAGUCAUUAAUAUUUAAAAUUGAAUAUAACUAGCAGAAUGUUGGAAAAAUUUACAUGUUCAUGAAUUGUAGGGGUUGAAAACUCCUGUUAAUUUUAAUGUGAAAUGCAUAAAUUGCAGGGGUUUUGGACUCCCACACUCACAAAUUGUUGGGGUUCUGAUUCCCAGAAUAUGAAGUGUUGGUUUAUUGAUAUUAAUUUUCGGGGUUCAAAACCCCCGCUAAUACCCCCUGCUACUGGUAACAAGGGUCGGUGAAAAACCCGUGUGACUUAAUUGUGAAAGACCUAACAAACAGGGUUUUUUGCAAUUGCCGUAACAACAAACAGGGGGGGGGUUACUGACCGCCACAAUAUAUAAUUUUAACUCCCGCAAUUUGUAUGCUUUUUUGUAGUGUUGGAGUGAUCUGCCAUUAGGUAGUUCUCCUGUGCGGCACGAAUUGAGCAUGCUUAUUUGCGUGUAUCGUGCACUAGUGGAAUAGUAGGGGGCAACUGGGUGGUAUUAGUAUCAAGGGUAGGGUUUGGAUGAGCGACAAGGUUAGACUCAUUUGGAGAAGAAAUGUUUUCCCCUUGUUAAAGAAGAAGUUUUUUGAUUCAAGUGAGAAAACGUAUUGCCAAAUGGAAAAACAUUUUCACAAUUUUACAUCUCAGAGAGAAAAAAAAAUUUGGAACAUGGGAAUGACGAGUACUGGUGAAACUUAGAUACACACAAGGUUUGAAGCACGCUUCUAAUUUAUUUUGGGCAUAUGGUCGAAGCCACGGGUAGCACAAAUAACAAAAAAUACGAAGAUAUGCGUAAGCUAGUUUGUCAUUAAAAAUAACUUCAAAUGGUGACUUUUUAUUAAGGGUGUUGGUGGGUAGACAGUUCAUGAGAUAUGUGGCAUGAUGAAAGGGAAACUACCAAAUAUCGGAUGGUAAAGCAACUUGAUGAAGUAGUGUUUUAGAUGUCUCAACUAGGUGACGAUUGCGUCUUUCAGCCAUGGCAACCCGUUGAGGCAUGUAUGGAGGAGAUUAAGGUGUUGUAUGCCUUUAGAAUGAAUAUAUGAGUCAAGUAUUUGAUAUUCGCCUCCUCUAUCACCGUAAAGGGCGAGUGUUUGUGUAUCAAAAUGUUUUUCGAGAACAGGAUGUAAGUGGUGAAAGUUUUGUUGAACUUCAGUUUUCUUUUUCAGUGUGUAUAACCGGAUGUACUUGCUAUACUAAUUAACAAAAAUACAAUAAUAACAUUUUUUUUAUCAGUUGAAAGCACUAGGGAGGGUCCCAACAGAUCACUGUAAGUAUUUCUAAUGGCGAUUUGCUAGACAAUGUGUUUGAAGAAAAUGGAAAUUUGUGGGCUUUAUUGCAACAACACUACAGUAAGUGAAUUUAUCUUUCAAAGAAUAAGAAAGACUGAAAUUAUUUAAAAUGCAAAAUAACACUUGAGAAUGGGGGUGACGAAUCUUUUGAUGUCACAGUUGUAAGGAAGAUGUAAGGAAGGGUUGGUAACAACAAUAUUGAUGGUUGGGCGAGAUAGUGGCGGCCAUUCAUAGGGUCCAACUUUAUUCGGGCCGCAGAGAAAGGGAGUCCUUGUAGUGAGAUCCUUCACAAGAAAAUCGAAGGACAAAACUCUGUUGAGGUUAUGCUGUCUUGGCAAAAUUCAUAAACUGAAAGAAGCUUACGCUUGAUAGCAGGAGCAUAUAAUACAGUAGAGAGUUUAAAGACAUUUUUUGUGCAAAUAUGAGUUACCAGUUUGAGUAAUUGGAAUCACAUUACUAUUACCCAUCGUCACGUUCUCCAUCCAUUCUAAGUCUGGGCAUCGGAGGUGAUGUGGUGAGAUGCACUCGACUCGACAAUUCAGGGUCAUGCGCCGCUGUAUUGGGCAACAGAAUUAGCCUUUGUUUCAAAGUGGUUAUGGGAUUAGGACCUACAAACAUUUGUCGUAUGUCCAAAUUUGUAACAAAGCUGAUAGCGGACUCGUGACGGUUGUUGUGGGAAAUUCCGCCAUUGAGAACUAUUGUCCAAAUCUUGGGGAGUGGUGUCUUGAGUGGGUUGUCUAGUAGGGGGACGCCAGUUGUUGUUCGGUGGGCAUUGAGUAUUGCGUGAGGCUGAUUGGGAAUAUUGUCGUGUUGAGCAACAUCAACGGUCACCUGAGUGGUGGUCUUUUUUUUGUCCUCUUGUUUGAGGAAAACUUGAUGAUCAAGAAGUUCAUCAAAAAGUUCAGUGUAGCUAAUGUCAAAAUCGCGUGCUCGUAUUGUCGCUGAAAUUUUGAGGAACUCCAGGCAAGGCUACUAAAUAUUCUCACCACAAGUUCUUCCUUAUUGACCGGUGAAACGGCUGUGGUGAGUUAAUCAAAUAGAGAUCAAAUCUCACGCAAGUAGUCAUCAAUAGAUUUGUUAUCCUUGCUGACCCGACUUGGAUGGUGACGGAGGCUGAAGAUGCUAAUUUGAGAUUUGUUCUCAAAAGAGGUGUGAAGAAUCAUAGAAUAAUGAUAAUAUCCAUGGAAAAGUGAAUUUUUACCGAAUACCUAAUGACCUCGAGAAUUUUUUGAAUAUCUCGAUUAUUAGCGUUUCUUCUCGAGGGCAAAUACCACCGCAAUUAACCUUAUUUUAGCGAUUAUUUUCAGAACUCGAACCACCUUUACGUAACAACGGCUAAUAACAUGAGCUAACUUUUUGAAAACUUAUACUGUUUGUAGGAGAAUUUUCUGACAAGAAAUUGGCCAGGGUGAAAAAAGGAAAAAAUAUUGAAGUAAUAACAAAAAUAUAAGUUAGAAUGAUAUAGUUCUACCUCCAUUUGUCUAUGAUCAUUGUAAGAGUACUUUGGGGCAUAUAUUCAAGAAAUAUCAGUGAUACAGGAAAUCAUUGAAACUUUGAUAUCUUCGUUGGUAUGCCCCAAAAAUUCGUCCCUAACCAACACUUUCAUUAAAGGUUGUAUUGCACUUGUGGUCGAAUCAAAUGGGUCCUGACUAACCACUUUCAGUAAAAAGACUCAACUUUCUAGCAAAAAGAAAAGGGGAAAACAAAAGUCGAGUCUUUACUGAAAAUGGUUAGUCAUGACCCAUUUGAUUCGACCACAAGUACAAUUCAACCUGUAAUAAAAGCAUUGCUUAGGGACGAACUUUUGGGGCAUACCAACGAAGAUAUCAAAGUUUCAGUGAUUUCUUAAAUCACUGUAAUUUCUUGAAUAUAUGCCCCAAAGUACCCUCACAAUGAUCAUAGACAAAUGGAGGUAGAACUAUAUCAUUCUAACUUAUUUUUCUGUCAUUUCUUUAAUAUCUUUUCCUUUUUUCAUCCUGACCAAUUUCUUGUUACGAAAUUAUCCGGCAAACUGUAAAUGCUUUUAAAAAGUUAGCUCAUCUUACUAGCUGCUGUUACCGGAAGGUGAUCCGAGUUCUGGAAAUAUUCGCUAAAGUAAGGUUGACUGGGUGAUAUUGAACCUCGAGAACGAAACUCUAAUAAUCGAGAUAUUCAAAAAUUUUCUUGAGGUCAUCAGGGAUAUGACUGAGGUGUUUGAAAAAAAUUCAAAGAGGAAAGACAGAUUCCAUCAUCAGCAAUCUUCGUGUUUGGAAUUUGGCUAUUAAACUCAUAACCUACCUGAAGAAUAUGAAGACUUGGCUACUUUUCUGGGAAGCUGUUUACCUCUGAGGUUGUUUCCGUUAAUGCAUCAACAUAUCGUUACUGCCAUCACAGUUGAGAGAGGAGCUGAAAUAUGAUUCCAAGAAAAGAUUACUUGAUUGGGGUAGUGGGAAUCUUAAUUACGGACAAGAAAAGGGUGUUUUGCUACUAUGUUUGAAUGAAGGUUGGACCUGAAACUUCAUCAACUUCCUUGCAAAUAACUCAAGGGCCUAAUGCUCAUGCCUAGAGUAUCAACUGUGAGAGCAUUCUUAUUCAUAGCUUCUUGAUAUUUGAUUCAAAAUAUUUGAUUGAUAAUAGCACUACAAUAUUUUUGUGGCACAGUGAUGUACGAGUUGUUUGUAAAUUCUGCUCGAUUCAACUAUAAGUUUACCUAGAUGACACUGAAGUUCUUAAUUACUUGAAGUCCAUAGCUAUACGUUCACAUUUUGGUUACAUUAAUUUUGUCUAUUUUGCUCAAUUCAACUAUAAGUUUACCUAGAUGACAUUGAAGUUCUUAAUUAUUUGAAGUCCAUAGUUAUACAUUCACAUUUUGGUUACAUUAAUUUUGUCUAUUCAUGAGUUAAUUUUUCAGUUGAUAUACAAAUGUGACCUUUCUUUUGAAAAAAAGAGUGUAUGACCUAUCCUUUGUUGGUGUGGUGACUUCUCUUCUUGGAGCUCAAUUCUCUUGGAGGGCUUUUUGUGAAAUUUUAUUGUUAGUGUUUGGUCUUUCUGGAAAAAAGAAUGUAUCACCUAUCCUUUUAUUGCUUGGAGUUUAAUUCUCUCAGAGAGCUUUUGGAUGACUAUUUUUAUUAGUGUUAGUUAUCGUAUUGGUCCCACGUGGAAAAUUUAAAAGUUGGUAGGUUUAGUAUUUUGUUUAAGCGAUUUUAUUAAGAGGAGGCAUUCCAAAUAGAGAUAUUGUUACUUAAUAUGUAUUGUUGAAGAUUAUUGAACAUAUAGAGGAAUGAUCUUACGUUGUCAUGCAUAUUUGCAUUGUUAGUAUUCAUAUCUUUGAAAUUCCAUCAUAUGUCUAAUUUAGGAAAGAAAAUAUUUCAUGAUUUUCUCAAUAAACUUAAAAUUGGAGUUCUCUACCGACGACUGAUAAUACAAAACUCCUCUGAUGUUGGGCCCGUACUAAGCACCGACCAAGUCUAUCUAGUAUAUAUAUAUAUAUAUAUAUAUAUAUAUAUAUAAGCCAACAAGAAAAGGAAUAACACUGCAGUUCAUAAUUGUACCUCAUGGCGUUUGAAUUGUACUAUUUAUUUAAGCUUUGCUAUAGUAGGUUGUCCACGUGUAGGUAGUUUGAAGCAUGUGUCUUUCCAUUACUCUCUCUUCCUACACCUUAACCAAGAUUUCCUCUAAAGUCUAUUUUCUUUGGAGGAGCUUCAAGCUCUCUGUAAGUUCACUCAUGAAGUUGGAUAAAAGGCAUCAAAGGUCAUGUGUUAAGCAAUUCUUCGGAGUGCAUGCUAAGAGUGCUAAAACGAUUUCCUAUUUGACUUUUAGAGGUAAUCUGAACCUCUCUUGUGAGUGCAGAAUGUUGUGUACUAUCACAUUCUCUAACUCUUAUAUCUCUCGACAUUAAUUUGUUAGUCCUUUAUAUGUCAUGACCAUUUACUUUUCUAUAUGAACAAGAUUUGUUUUACCUUCAGAUGUUCUAUUUUGAUAUAAUAUGUGCAUCAAAUCUUUGAAGUGCAACUUUAUGCAAGAAAAAUACGUUCCUAAUUAGAAUUUUGAAAAUAUUAACAUUACUGACAAUUCUUUUACUGAAUUUUAGGAAGGAGAGAAUUGGCUUCUAGGCUUCUGGCAUUACUCCUAAAGAUUAAUUUCCUUGCUGAUUUAAAGAUUAUGCAUUAGUUUCGUUAAAGCUAUUAAUAUCUAUAUAUAGGACAAGCACUAUGGUAGCAAAGUAGUUUCUUUUUGAUUGUGUGAUUUUUAAGCUCUGCUGAAUAUGAUGAAAAAAGGUAAAUUGUAAAUCAUUCCAUUGCUGCUAACUUGUAUUGUUUUAACUGUAUGUUUGGAGCUUUCAUAUGGUUCAGAAUAAUCUGUUUUGUGAAUUAACUUCUCAUGUUGCUAUCGCUUCAGCAACGCGACAACAUCUAUACAAAUUAUUUCAAAAAAUUGAAGAAAUUCUCAUAAACAGAAGGAUGACAAGGUUAUGGUGGUCAUCUUGCUUCAAAUAGUUGGGGUGGGACAUGUGUUCAACCGGAGAUUUCAGUGUUUUUACUUAAAAUAGUUAAGUGGCUAACAUGUGUUCCAUUUGUGUUUCUUUUUUUCAUAAUUUUUUUGUUAAUUUAGAAUAUAAAUUGACAAAAAAAAAAAGAAGGCUAGAGAAGAAUGGGAGCUGAGGAUUCACCGGAGAAACCAAAGAAAAAGAACACAAAAAGGAGUUGAGAGGGAAACGUUAUCUUCGUUCAAAGAGAUAUUAUUGCCUCAAAAGUUUUCAUCUUUCAUAGUUUUAUCUGUGAUUAAUCUGGCUGAAAUAUCUUUGAUUGAUUAAGCCCCUCAAACUAAAUACAACUGUUAACCUUAUCAUCCUGAGCUACUUUAGUUUCAAGCUUCCUGGCGAUUUCAUAGCUCUAGAUUUAAUAAUGACCAAAGUCACCAGCAUGCCUUGGAGAAAAUAAUUCAAUUAAGAUCGGUAUAUAUAUAGCUACCUCAAAGUUAAGGACUCUGCUGAGAAGUUCACUGUGGUUCAUUUCAGUGUUUGUCCUUUCUGAUGGACGCUCACAAGCCAUCUUUUAUCACCCAUCUGUAAGUCUUUGCUCAUCAUUCUCAUGUUUAUUCAGUGAAGGAUAUAGAUAUUCCCGCUCAACUAAUUUAGAAUUGAUCUUCUAAUGUGUCUCUGAGGGAUAUAUAAAAGAUAGGUAUAGUUUACUUCAAUUUAUUUGGAUUUGAUGCUUAGUUAAUUGAUUGAUUCAUGUCAUUUGUCCAAGUUAAUUCUUUAUGGACAAAAAAGAUUAUUUUUUUUCUACAAUAAUGUGAAAGCACAUUAAGCAAGGGAAAACACUCCACCAUGUUUUUAGCCUCGCUUCAGGGCUUAAGACGUCUUUGACAAUACUGGGAGAAUCGACGUCUGCAUUAUUUAUGGUGAAACAUGUUUGCCAAGUAGAGAUCUCAAGUGAGCAUUUCAGUGUCUUCAGAAGACAGUUUGUUUCUUUUGCUUUUUAUGAAAAUAAAUUAUCACCUAUUAAGCAGCAACCUGUUUGUUUUGACUUAGAGAUGUUACAUAAUGCAUUGUCUAUGUGAAGUCUUUUUUUAUGAAUGGUAUGCAAUUUCAGUAUCAAAUCGAUUUUAUUUGGGGUGUUCAUUUCAGUAUGUGUAGAAUAAUUGUGUUUUUCUAAGGGAACAUAACAAGCAUCAUAGAUUGUCUUCAUCGGUUAAUGUUACAUAUUCAAUUAUCAAAUCCGUCACUCUGAUUUCUCUUUGGCUGACACAACGUCUAUAUAUUCCCACGGCAAGAAAUUUCGGGUUGUAACCAACCUUGUGAGUUCCAUUGCCAAACAACAUCACCUGAUUUCUUGGCAAAAUACCAGGUUGAUUUCAAUGUGUGUAAGGAAACACAUUCGUUAGUUCUCGUGGACAAUUUAAUGAGAUCGUAGCACAUUGUGAUUUUUCAGUUUUAUCUUAACUGAUUCAAACACCGUCUCCUAAAUUGAUCCUUAGAUGUGCUAGAGGAGUGAGUCUGUUUUCGAAGAACUCAUCUUUUUAUUCAGUUUUCAUCUAUGUUGUUCGGACUCUUCAAAGAUAUCUAUGAGUGCAUGUCGGAUUCGCUCAAAGUAGUGUACAUUUAGAGUAUUCAACAUGGGCAAUGUCAGAUUUUAUAUUUUGCUGUCAAAAGGCUUUCCAGUCUGCUAGAAGAGAGAGGCAAAGUGACAACUGAAAUAGUUCUCAUCUCGAUAGAUCUCUCAAUCAUUUUAGUCAUUAUUUCCAUAUUGAGCUUACAUAAGUCUUUUGAGAUCUAUUUGGAAAGCCCAUGUAUUCAUCAUUAUGCUUCUUUGAAUUGAAUUAAAAUAGAUAGUGUGUAAUUGCUCUGUAGGUUGGUGACCUUAAAAAGAUUGGUGCAAGAUUUUCCUGUGGAGUUCCUGAA